RNAcentral lists this transfer RNA (71 nucleotides) under Myotis lucifugus (little brown bat). It matches the Rfam family "tRNA". Rfam says of the family: Transfer RNA (tRNA) molecules are approximately 80 nucleotides in length. Their secondary structure includes four short double-helical elements and three loops (D, anti-codon, and T loops). Lineage: Eukaryota; Metazoa; Chordata; Mammalia; Chiroptera; Vespertilionidae. The record is from Rfam by way of RNAcentral.
CCUGGUUUGGCUCAGUGGUUAGAGCAUCAGCCUGCAGACUGAAUGGUCCCGGGUUCGAUUCCCGGUCAGGG